Long non-coding RNA from Patella vulgata (common limpet), 1325 nucleotides. RefSeq lists it as uncharacterized. NCBI's taxonomy places the organism in Eukaryota, Metazoa, Mollusca, Gastropoda, Patellidae. The transcript is spliced from 4 exons. The record is from RefSeq and is a predicted model, not a curated record.
CCUACUCGGAUUAUUCUUUGACAGACAUUGUUUUAAUCUUUAUUCUGAAUUAGGAAAGGGAAGACAUUGUAUUCGCUGAAACCAUGGUUAGCAGUCAUGUACUCCUUUCAUUAGUAUUAUUGAUUUCACUGAUGUCGUUGUCAACAGAACAGAAACAUAAGUGUAAAGAUGGCCAGGUUUAUUAUGUAAAGGAAUUUGGUUCAGGAAUAAAACAUGAAAUAUGUAUACCUUCACAAUGUUUAGAAGACCCAGUUAAAGGACCCUGUCGAGCUCGUCAUAUCCGGUGGUAUUAUAAUACUUCAACUAAACAAUGUGAACAGUUUAUAUACGGUGGAUGUAAGGGCAAUCAGAAUAAAUUCCGUACUAAAAAGGAAUGUGAAGAGACAUGUAUGCUUGAAGAACAAUACUGAAUAUAAAUAUAAUAUGUACUCUCACCUAUCAUUCAGAUUAAUCUAUACCGCAUCUACCAUUCAGAUUAAUCGAUACCCAUCCACCGUUCUGAUUAAUCUAUACCGCAUCUACCAUUCAGAUUAAUCGAUACCCCAUCCACCGUUCUGAUUAAUCUAUACCGCAUCUACCAUUCGGAUUAAUCGAUACCCCAUCCACCGUUCUGAUUAAUCUAUACCCCACCCAUCAUUCAGAUUACCCGAUACCCCAUCCACCGUUCUGAUUAAUCUUACCUCACCUCACCUCACCAUCCAGAACAAUCUAUACCCCAACCUCAUUGGUUAUAAGUAGCCACAGUUGCGGUACACGAGACAGAAUAUGCCUGCUGUGUUUAGAACAUAAUAUGCUGCCACUUCUAAUUACUGAGCAAUAUUUCUACUUGGCUUCACUAAUCUUUAUCAGGAAAUGAAACAAUACAAAUGUCAUAUAUUAUGUAGAAGUGAGAGGAGAUGUAUUUUCGUGUAUUUUGUAAAAAACUCAAAAUGCUUAAGAAAGGUUUGGUAGCAAUGGUGGCACAGAGGGUGAGGCGCGCAUUCUCUAACCAGGAGCACAGGGGGUAGGUCGGGGUGUUGGUCAAGACAGUUCACCAGGAUUUUCCAGUGUUUUUUCUCGCUGUCAAUGGCACAGGACGUUAAAGUUAUCGAAUCGCAUUUAACAGUAGGCCCUACCACUGCUACUAGGGUAAAUUUUCCGGCAUGGCGUAUUAUUCCGUUUGAUACAAGACAUUAGUACGAGCAUUAAACGUGCGUGUUUCUUGUUUUAAAUAAAAGGCUGUGUUGCAGUAUAUAAAUCUCCAAGGGACACCUCCGGAUUUCAUUGCUACUGUCAUUGAAUUAUAAGCCCGGAAGCCGUCGCAUUCUAUAUCAGAUCCGGUUAUG